CGGCUUANCCGUUAAACUGCUUGAGAAACUGAUAAUNUAGAGUAAGGGAGAGGCAGAUGGAAUUCUUGGUGUAGGGGUAAAAUCCGUAGAGAUCAAGGAGAAUACCCAUUGCGAAAGCGAUCUGCUGGAACUUAACUGACGCUAAUGCGUGAAAGCGUGGGGAGCAAACAGGAUUAGAUACCCUGGUAGUCCACGCCCUAAACGAUGUAUACUAGUUGUUGCUUCGCUAGUCGAGGCAGUAAUGCACCUAACGGAUUAAGUAUACCGCCUGGGGAGUACGGUCGCAAGAUUAAAACUCAAAGGAAUAGACGGGGACCCGCACAAGCGGUGGAGCAUGUGGUUUAAUUCGAAGAUACGCGAAGAACCUUACCCGGACUUGAUAUCUAACAAAUCAUCCAGAGAUGGAAGAGUGUCUGCUUGCAGAAAUGUUAAGACAGGUGCUGCACGGCUGUCGUCAGCUCGUGUCGUGAGAUGUUGGGUUAAGUCCCGCAACGAGCGCAACCCACGUCAUUAGUUGCUAACGGUUCGGCCGAGCACUCUAAUGAGACUGCCUUCGCAAGGAGGAGGAAGGUGUGGACGACGUCAAGUCAUCAUGGCCCUUAUGUCCGGGGCGACACACGUGCUACAAUGGCGUAUACAAUGAGACGCAAUAUCGCGAGAUGGAGCAAAUCUAUAAAAUACGUCCCAGUUCGGAUUGGAGUCUGCAACUCGACUCCAUGAAGCCGGAAUCGCUAGUAAUCGUAGAUCAGCCAUGCUACGGUGAAUACGUUCCCGGGUCUUGUACUCACCGCCCGUCACACCAUGGGAGUUGAUUUCACUCGAAGCCCAAAUACCAAACUGGUUAUGNUCCACAG
Molecule: ribosomal RNA, 854 nt
Filed under: uncultured bacterium
Lineage: Bacteria
Description: bacterial SSU rRNA
Rfam family: Bacterial small subunit ribosomal RNA
Source: RNAcentral